This 246-nucleotide ribosomal RNA is filed under the name uncultured Bacillota bacterium. RNAcentral's name for it is "uncultured Firmicutes bacterium partial 16S ribosomal RNA". It matches the Rfam family "Bacterial small subunit ribosomal RNA", at positions 796 to 1041 of the family's 1533-position model. Lineage: Bacteria; Bacillati; Bacillota. The record is from RNAcentral.
CACACUGUAAACGAUGAAUGCUAGGUGUAGGGGGUAUCGACCCCUUCUGUGCCGGAGUAAACACAAUAAGCAUUCCGCCUGGGGAGUACGGCCGCAAGGUUGAAACUCAAAGAAAUUGACGGGGGCCCGCACAAGCAGCGGAGCAUGUGGUUUAAUUCGAAGCAACGCGAAGAACCUUACCAGGUCUUGACAUCCAGGUAAACUUGCAGAGAUGCAAGGUGUGCUUGCACAAUCUGAGACAGGUGG